This 440-nucleotide ribosomal RNA is filed under the name uncultured bacterium. RNAcentral's name for it is "partial 16S ribosomal RNA". It matches the Rfam family "Bacterial small subunit ribosomal RNA", at positions 338 to 795 of the family's 1533-position model. The record is from RNAcentral.
CCUACGGGUGGCAGCAGUGGGGAAUAUUUCACAAUGGAGGAAACCCUGAUGCAGCGACGCCGCGUGAGUGAAUAAGUAUUUCGGUAUGUAAAGCUCUAUCAGCAGGGAAGAAAAUGACCGUUACUGAUUAAGAAUCCCCUGCUCACUUCGUGCCAGCAGCCGCGGUAAGACGUAGGGGGCAAGCGCUAUCCGGAUUUACUGGGUGUAAAGGGAGCGUAGUCGGUGAUGCAAGUCAGAAGUGAAAGCCCGGGGCUCAACUCCGGGGCUGCUUUUGAAACUGUGUGACUGGAGUGCAGAAGAGGAGAGUGGAAUUCCUUGUGGAGCGGUGAAAUGCGUAGAUAUCAGGAGGAACACCAGUGGCGAAGGCGGCUUACUGGUCUGUAACUGACGUUGAGGCUCGAAAGCGUGGGGAGCAAACAGGAUUAGAUACCCGAGUAGUC